AAGAAAUAUUAGAAUAAUUAAAAAUAUAUCUUAAGUAAGUCUCAACCAAGUCCUAGAUGAAUCCUAGUUAAAAUCCUAAUAGACUUUAAUCAAAGCUUAGGCCAAAUUUCAAACCUUAAAUAAAUCUUAAAUCCUAAAUCUUAAGUAAAUCCUAAAUUAUAAAUCCUAAAUCCUAAUCCAAUCCUAAAUCCUAGUCCAAUCCUAAAUCCUAAUCAAAUCCUAAUCAAAUUCUAAAUCCUAAUUCAAUCCUAACUCUAAACCAAAUCCUAAC
This 271-nucleotide long non-coding RNA is filed under the name Physcomitrium patens. Its description in RNAcentral is "long non-coding RNA (PPAT_LNC010160)". The record is from RNAcentral. Lineage: Eukaryota; Viridiplantae; Streptophyta; Bryopsida; Funariales; Funariaceae.